This 326-nucleotide ribosomal RNA is filed under the name uncultured Chloroflexota bacterium. RNAcentral's name for it is "bacterial SSU rRNA". It matches the Rfam family "Bacterial small subunit ribosomal RNA", at positions 28 to 351 of the family's 1533-position model. The record is from RNAcentral. Lineage: Bacteria; Bacillati; Chloroflexota.
GAUGAACGCUGGCGGCGUGCCUAAUACAUGCAAGUCGAACGGAGGAGUUGCUUUCGGGUGACUUCUUAGUGGCGAACGGGUGAGUAACGCGUUGGUGACCUGCCCCGAAGAACGGAAUAGCAGUUCGAAAGGACUGAUAAUACCGUAUGAAGUCGUGAGGAUUAGAAGCCUCACGAAAAAAGGAGAAAUCCGCUUUGGGAGGGGCCUGCGUCCCAUCAGCUAGUUGGUAAGGUAAAAGCUUACCAAGGCGAUGACGGGUAGGGGACCUGAGAGGGUGGCCCCCCACACUGGAACUGAAACACGGUCCAGACACCUACGGGAGGCAG